RNAcentral lists this ribosomal RNA (497 nucleotides) under uncultured bacterium. RNAcentral's name for it is "partial 16S ribosomal RNA". It matches the Rfam family "Bacterial small subunit ribosomal RNA", at positions 28 to 507 of the family's 1533-position model. The record is from RNAcentral.
GAUGAACGCUGGCGGCGUGCCUAAUACAUGCAAGUCGAGCGGACGGACGAGAAGCUUGCUUCUCUGAUGUUAGCGGCGGACGGGUGAGUCACACGUGGAUAACCUACCUAUAAUACUGGGAUAACUUCGGGAAACCGGAGCUAAUACCGGAUAAUAUUUUGAACCGCAUGGUUCAAAAGUGAAAUACGGUCUUGCUGUCACUUAUAGAUGGAUCCGCGCUGCAUUAGCUAGUUGGUAAGGUAACGGGUUACCAAGGCAACGAUGCAUAGCCGACCUGAGAGGGUGAUAGGCGACACUGGAAGGUGGACGGGGACCAUGCGCCUACGGGAGGCAGCAGUAGGGAAUCGUACGCAAUGGGCGAAAGCAUUACGGAGCAACGCGGCGCGUGAGACGAAGGUGUUCGGAUCGGAAAAAUCUGUUAUGAGGGAAGAACAUAUGUGGAAGUAAAUGAGCACAUCUUGACGGUACCUAAUCAGAAAGCCACGGCUAACUACGUG